RNAcentral lists this ribosomal RNA (253 nucleotides) under uncultured bacterium. RNAcentral describes it as "partial 16S ribosomal RNA". It matches the Rfam family "Bacterial small subunit ribosomal RNA", at positions 524 to 776 of the family's 1533-position model. The record is from RNAcentral.
UACAGAGGGUGCGAGCGUUGUCCGGAAUCACUGGGCGUAAAGGGCGCGUAGGCGGCCUGGUAAGUCGAUGGUGAAAGCCCGAGGCUCAACUUCGGGUCGGCCACUGAUACUGCUGGGCUUGAGUCGACUAGAGGCAGAUGGAAUUCCGGGUGUAGCGGUGGAAUGCGUAGAGAUCCGGAAGAACACCGGUGGCGAAGGCGGUCUGCUGGGGUCGAACUGACGCUGAGGCGCGACAGCGUGGGGGGCAAACAGG